Molecule: ribosomal RNA, 472 nt
Filed under: uncultured bacterium
Lineage: Bacteria
Description: bacterial SSU rRNA
Rfam family: Bacterial small subunit ribosomal RNA
Source: RNAcentral
UUCGAUUCUGGCUCAGAAUCAACGCUGGCGGCGUGCCUAACACAUGCAAGUCGCACGAGAAAGGGAGCAAUCCCGAGUAAGUGGCGUACGGGUGAGUAACACGUGACUAACCUACCCUUGAGUGGGGAAUAACUGGGGGAAACUCUAGCUAAUACCGCAUAACACCUACGGGUCAAAGGAGCAAUUCGCUCGAGGAGGGGGUCGCGGCCGAUUAGUUAGUUGGCGGGGUAAUGGCCCACCAAGACGAUGAUCGGUAUCCGGCCUGAGAGGGCGCACGGACACACUGGAACUGAAACACGGUCCAGACUCCUACGGGAGGCAGCAGUGGGGAAUUUUGCGCAAAUGGGGGAAACCCUGACGCAGCAACGCCGCGUGGAGGAUGAAGUCCUUCGGGACGUAAACUCCUUUCGAUCGGGACGAUAAUGACGGUACCGGAAGGAGAAGCCCCGGCUAACUUCGUGCCAGCCGCCGC